ACAAUUAUAUUCUAUAAAGAUUUAAAAUUGCAAAUUUUAAGACAGAUGUUUAUUCUUUUUUGUU
Molecule: transfer RNA, 64 nt
Filed under: Homidia koreana
Lineage: Eukaryota; Metazoa; Arthropoda; Collembola; Entomobryomorpha; Entomobryidae
Description: tRNA-Cys
Source: RNAcentral